GGCACAUAUGAUGAACAAAAAGGGACUUAAUGCUGAAAAAGUGAUGCAUUAAUUUGGUUAAUCUGAUGUGC
Megalops cyprinoides (Indo-Pacific tarpon) is the source of this 71-nucleotide small nucleolar RNA. RefSeq annotates it as small nucleolar RNA SNORD82. The record is from RefSeq and is a predicted model, not a curated record. The transcript has a single exon. Lineage: Eukaryota; Metazoa; Chordata; Actinopteri; Elopiformes; Megalopidae.